This is an RNA transcript of Eucalyptus grandis, 3432 nucleotides long. It is a transcript of the gene named putative pentatricopeptide repeat-containing protein At3g18840, with no coding region annotated. The transcript has 3 exons. The record is from RefSeq and is a predicted model, not a curated record. Lineage: Eukaryota; Viridiplantae; Streptophyta; Magnoliopsida; Myrtales; Myrtaceae.
GAUUUGGCUGCUGACACUGACACUGAUUCCUCUCUCUCUCUCUCUCUCUCUCUCUCUCGUCACCGAAAUCUGUUCUCUGUCACGAACCUGAAUCUUUUGUUAUCGUCUUAGAAGCUGGAAGGAUCGGGGGUUGUUUGAGCAGCGAUGCGUUCCUUCUUCUCGUCCAGUCCCAUGUAACAUCUGACACAAACAUGUAAAUGAGGACCUUGAAAGAUGGUCUAGCCUACCAGACGAGAGCAGUUAAGUCCGGCUUCGUCCCCAGCACUUUCCUGUUCAACCAGCUCAUCCGCCUCUACUCCCAGAAUGGCCUCUUGCGAGAAGCCCACAAGCUGUUCGACGAAAUGCCCCACCGGAACGUGUAUACCUCGAACGCCCUGAUUUCGGCUUAUGUAAAAGCUCGGGACUUGACCCGAGCCAGGGCGUUGUUCGACUCCGCCACUGACAGGGACUUGGUAACUUAUAAUUCAAUACUGACCGGUUACGUGACCGUCGAAGGACGUGAAAGCGAUGCGCUCGAAUGGUUUGACAAGAUGCAGUUGAUGCGUGAUCGUCUUAAGUUCGACGAGUUUACUUUGACGGCGAUGCUAAACUUGGUGGCAAAGUUACGUGUGCAGUGUUAUGGGACACAGUUGCAUGCUUAUAUGGUGAGGACGGGGAAUGAUACGGAUAAGUAUGCCAUGAGCUCCUUAAUUGACAUGUACUCUAAAUGUGGGAGUUUCGGAGAAGCAUACAGAGUGUUCUGUGAAUCAAAAGCGGAGGUCGAUUUGGUUUCCAAGAAUACGAUGAUGGCAGCUUGUUGUAGGGAAGGUAAGAUGGAAAUGGCUUUAGAUCUGUUCCAGAGAUUGCCCGAGUUAAAUGAUACAGUGUCUUGGAAUACUUUGAUUUCUGGCUAUGCCCAGAACGGUUUUGAGGAGGAGUCCUUGAAUUUCUUUAUGAAAAUGAGAGACAGUGGAUUUGGGUGGAAUGAGCACACGUUCGCUAGUGUUCUGAAUGCUUGCUCCAGCAUGCGGAAUUCAAAGCUUGGAAAGGAGAUACAUGCUUGGGUUUUGAGAGAAGGAGUGAUAUCAAAUCUCUUUGUUAAGAGUGCCUUGGUGGAUGUUUACUCCAAGUGUGGAAAUAUGAAAUAUGCGGACUUAGUUUAUGCGACGAUUGAGUGGGAGAACUCCUUUUCGACAACUUCUAUGAUCAUGGGUCAUUCAUCUCAAGGUAACAUGUCUGAAGCACGGAGGCUUUUUGAUUCUCUGAAUGAAAAGAAUUCUAUCGUGUGGACAGCUUUGUUUACUGGUUAUGUCAAAGCACAGCAAUGUGAAGCUGUAUUUGAACUGCUGAAUGAAUAUAGAGGGAAUGCAAACAUUUCUUUUGAUGUACCCAUAAUCAUCUGCUUGCUAGGUGCCUGUGCAUUGCAGGCGGCCCUGGAUCCUGGAAAACAAAUUCAUGCUUACUCACUAAGAAAAGGGAUGGAAAUGGAGGAGAAGCUGAUUAGUGCCACAAUCGACAUGUAUUUUAAGUCUGGCAGUACUGAAUAUGCAGGAAAGAUAUUUCAAAAACUCACGGGAAGAGACUUGAUUCUCUACAAUAUCAUGAUUUCUGGUUAUGCAAAUCAUGGGCACGAAGAUCAAGCUAUGGAGCUGUAUAAAGAAAUGUUGGAGAGAGGAUUGAAACCUGAUGAGGUCACCUUUAUUGCGCUUCUAUCUGCUUGCCGUCAUAGUGGGUUAGUGGAAAUGGGGGAAAAGUAUUUCAAGUCCAUGGUAGAAGAUUACAAAAUAGUGCCUGAAAUGGAUCACUAUGCCUGUAUGAUUGAUCUGUAUGGAAGGGCAAAUCGACUAGAAAAGGCGAUGGGUCUCAUGAAGAAAAUUCCCAGGAAUUCGGAUCCUGUGAUUUUGGGGGCUUUUUUGAAUGCCUGCAAGAUAAAUAGGAACCUCAGUCUUGCAAGAGAAGCAGCAGAGCAGCUAUUGGUUAUUGAGGAAGAUAAUGGAUCUCGGUAUGUGCAGCUAGCAAAUGUAUUUGCAGCUGAGGAAAAUUGGGCAGAGAUGCGCAAGAUAAGAGAGAAAAUGAGAGGGAAGGAAACCAAGAAGCUUGCUGGCUGCAGUUGGGUGUAUCUUGAGAAUGGAAUUCAUGCAUUUACCUCUGGUGACACAUCGCAUUCAAAAGCAGAGGCUAUCUAUUCGAUCUUGGAGUUCCUAUCUGCAGAUUUACAUGUGCUACCCAAUUCAAGUGUUGGAAAGAUUACAACUUUAACAUUGACAUAAGGGGACAGAUGAAUUCAAAUGCUUGGUACAGGAAGGUCUGUGGCUGCUUUCAAGAGCAUAUAUAUUCAAAAGAGGAUGAGACAAUACUCAAACUCAACACUAAUUCAAUCAUGUUUCAAGGGUCGAUGGUAAAAGAUAUAUAUUUUGAAGAAGGAAUUGCACUCAUUGGUGUACCACACACUGGACGGUGGAGAUAAAAAACGACUGUGAUGGAUAAGAAGUACUGCCAGAUGAAGCAGUGGUAAAGCUUGUUCAUGUCAAAGCCUUCAGGCUAACAGAGGUUUUGCUCAAUUAGUGGAAUUUAUUUCAAAUAGGAUGAGCUGAAGAUAACUACUAGAGGAUGAAGACAUGUAUAUAGUUCCACAAUCUGGUUGGAGCGCCUUCUUCAGAACUAUCUGACAGGUUAACUUGUCGAAAUCUACUCAUCAUAUUGCCGGUGAACCCUGAUAUCAUAAAGCAAGGCAGGAGUCUCAAUUGAAUGCUCAAUCUGCUGAAAAUGGAAGAACCAGGAAAGAAGAUCCAUUUUGUGUUAGAAGACUGAUAGCCUGCAUCUGGGACUUUCCUGGACUGUCCACGGUUUGCCAAGCAAGCCACCAUAAUCUCCAAGGACUUCCUGCAUACAUGAUGGCAAAGAUAUUCAAGAAGUCACUGUCUAGGACGAGCUUGUAUUUGAAUAAAGGUAUAAAGGUGUGACAUCUCAAGGGGGUAAUGACGUGUACAAUGGUCUUAUUAGUGGCUAUCUGGAUCUGCUUAUGUAGAAUGCAGGUAUGGAUUGCCAGACCCUGUCCAGUCAUAUCAAGCUGUCUCAUUCUGGACGUCUUCUUUCAUCACAGUUUCAGCAUGUGAGUCUCCAUGGCAUCAGUAGAAUAAGGCAGUUUUGUCUGGGCGUCCAUGGUGAAUUCCUCCCGGGGUGCCCAACUAAGCAAGUCCAAUUUUUUUGCAUUUGUUGGAGUCAUUACUCUUUGGAGCUUCUGGUGAUCAGGGUGGGAACAAACAUUCACCGCAGUGGACAUGGUGACGCUCUCCAAACUCCGUUCCGAUGGUGUAUGUCUGAAAUAUUUUCUUGAGUAUCUGAGAAGAGUUACUUGUACUUUUCACGGUAUGUGAAUAUUCUGAGCUCAUUUCUUCAAACCAAAUUGAUGUCAUACAUUCAGAGGAAUAAACAUCCUGCAGCACUCAUCUU